Alligator mississippiensis (American alligator) is the source of this 3784-nucleotide long non-coding RNA. RefSeq lists it as uncharacterized. Lineage: Eukaryota; Metazoa; Chordata; Crocodylia; Alligatoridae. The transcript has 3 exons. The record is from RefSeq and is a predicted model, not a curated record.
CUGCUGCCCAAGUAGACGCUGUAUACAGCAGCAGCAGUAAGAGCAGAAUUAGCUGUCUUCAGUGUGCAGAGAGCCCAGCAGGGCAACUGAGUCCCACAGCCCCAACCUUCCUCAUCACAGCUGACUGCUGCACUAAUUUACGUACAACAGCGCUAUUAUUGCAACGACUUUGUAGUACAAGGGAAACUGGACACAUGUCCAGAAUUCUCCUUGGUAUACCACUGGGGCCAGCUGUGGCUGCUCUGACUUUCUGGGGCUACAUACCGGCUUGGUCAUCUCUGUAAGGCAUCUGGUGGACUGUGCAUGGAAGGAGCACUGUCAGAGAAAUUAAUGAAGGAGCACUGAAGAAGCCCUUUAAAUACAAAGAUAUUGGGACUCAAGGAAUGCACUAUCUCUACUGUCCCUUCACAUAGCCAGUUGUACUCACUUGCAAAAGGAGAGCAAGAUUCACAAGUACAUUUACGCUGCUAUGCACUGUUCUGGCUAUGUGAAGCAACUGUAAGCUUGGCUAAGCUGUCCUCUGGCUGCCUUUUGCCACUUGGAAGGACAGGCCAAUUUGUCCUUAGAAAUUAAAAAUAUAGAAAUGUUUUAAGAGUGACACUGCAUCCUUUCAGUUCAGAAGUAUCACAAGCUAGCAGUCUUUUUGGACUUUUGUUCGGUGUUUGCAUAUGGAAUUUGUAACAAUUAUUAUUAAACAAAACAAAAAACUGCGGAAAUUCCCAGACAAGAAAUUACAUUUUGAAGGAGUUAAAAUUGUGUAUACAUACCAGGAUAAAAAACAUUGUAAAAUUAUUGUAACCACAAACAAAACAAGCAUGAUAAAACAGGAUAUUCAGCAUUAAGGUUAAACUGAAAAGCAAUCCAAACAUACGCAAGUAAGAAAUGGAAAGCCACUGCACAUAAACUACCUUCACCAUGAGCUGUGGUGAUGCGCAAAAGAAAAACAUGGGAAAAAAAUCUUGUGUGUCUUUAUAUUCAGUCUAAUCAGUCUAGAACCACAGACGCUAACAUGCCUGAAUCAUAAUUGUAGGCUAUCACAUGACAUCACUACAGGGCAUAGUUAGUUAAGACUAUUUAAGUUCCUUAAUUUUGCAUUUCUUGCCUUAAUAUGUUUGGGUUUCCUUUGAGUGUAAACUUAAUCUUAACUGUACUAGGGCUGUCAUUCUUGAUCUGGAGAUACUUAUAAUAUCACUGUAGUGUGUUUUUGGUUGUUUUUUAAAGAUCAGUACCUCAGUCUUAGCUCCAUUAUGGCUUGGAAGCUAUUGCCAUGUCUAGCAUCAACAACAGCAUCAAGUCUGUCUUAAAGACAUUUAUUAUCAUAAAAUGGUCACCUCCUACCAGAAGGCAGCUCUGUGUCUGGGGCAGCAGUGAUGCACGGGGCAGUGCUGGCUGCUGCGGCACUGAUAGUGGUAGCAUGCAUGGUCAGCUGCUUAUUUUUGUGCCAGCCUAUUUUUGUGCCCCUCCUCCAACAAAUGCAACACCCAGGGCUAAUGCUCCUGGUCACCCCCCCUGCCUGAGUUAUACUACUACCUCCCACAUUCAAGCACAUUUCUUCCCCUUCCCCUCCCCCAGCUCUGCAUUUGUAUCUCUUAGAGAGGGGUCAGACUCCCAACAAAGCUGAAAGCUGAGCUUAAAGGAAGAAGGCCAGGGCUUAGCCAACUCUCCUAAGGAGUUGGCAACAAUUUAGUGAAUAUGUUUGUCCCAAUAUAUGAAUAUCAAUUUGUUUUGUAAAGAUCAUUAUAAUGAAAAUAGUCCCCAUGACUUAGAUCAUCCAUCAGUUGGCAGGGACUUGGCGCUGAACAGAGAUACUAUAUCUGGGGUCAUUGGGGCAUCAGAGAGAUACUAACAAUUGAAAAGCGCUGUGGAAGUAGCAUAGCUUUUUGGAGGCUGCUACUGUAAGAAUUACUGACUUUUAAUGACUCUCUGCCCCCAGCUGGGUUGGAACAUGGACAAUUUCCUGUGGAAAGAAAGGAAAGAGAAAAGUAUUGGGCUUUUUUGAAGAGGAUUUCUGAUGACCGUCCACUGCUGGAACCAGAAGUCCCAGCUGGAAGAGUGGGACCAAGGAUGGACCUGACCUCCCUGCAGGACUUAAAACCAACCUAGAGAAUUUCAACAGUGGGCGAAAUGAGAAGAAGGCAGGGGCAGGGCAGAGGUGCCUUCAAGAAUGUGGUCUUGUGCCUGAAUCUGCAACUCUCUUGGGCUGUCCAGAAAGAAAGUGUCUGUGUUUAAGCAGUUCUUUUGCAACCCUGAUUUUACCUGUCAUGAGUAAAUUAUAAAUCUCUUAAAUUUAAGAGUUAAAUUAUAAAUCUCCCCCCAGCUGGAUAGACUGUGUGGGCACAUCCAGACAAGCGUGCACAUGUGAUGCCUCAGACCAGUCUAUGGCACCACACACUGAACAUGUUGCACAUGCAGGCAUUCGGUGCGCUGCUGAUUUGCAGUGUGGUGUUUUUUUUUUAAAAACUGGGAGGUCCCAGUGUCAAAAAAACCCCAUGCUAUAAAAAAGCAGGGUGGUGCAUGUGAUGCCAGUGUGUGCGUCCAAAACUGGAGCCUGGCUGGCCAAAGCCACACUCCAGCUGCCAGCCAGGCUCCCUGCUGCCAGAUUGCUGCAGCUGGAAUCCCGGGAUACCCCCAGGACCCCAGGCAAGGCUGCUGGAGCCAGGCCAGGUGCUGGCCCCAGACUCCCCUACCAUACCCAGGGCAACUUACCAUGCGCCAGAGUGCAUGUACACAGGCAUUCCCUGAGGACAAAUAGCAGCAGCAAAACUAUGUGCCCCUGCUACUUGUCCCCAGGGAAACUCAGGUGUGCACUUUUCUGGACAUGCCCCAUGAGGGCUAAGGCACUACUUUGCAGUGUUUAGACAGCUGCCCUGCAGGGUUUAACUAUGAAGGAGGAUGUUCAUUAUUGGGUCUACACCAGGGGAAUGUAUUCAGGAGACCCCAUGUGUCAGUCACUGUGAUUAGACACUGUCAGACACAGCUGAGUUCGAAAAGCUACUGGCAUCCAAAUAUUGGGUCUGGUUAUCACAGUAACUAUCCACGAGAGGGGCUCAGUCAGGGCUAAUACAGGCCCCAAUUUCAUUGCUGCACCAAGAAGCACUUCUCCCCCUCUCUUGCAAUUCCCACUCUGUUCUAACUGUAUGCAAAUGCCAUUCUAAUAUGAACUGUUUGGCUGUGUCCAGAUGAGCAUGGCCGUGCGGUAUGUGGCACUGUAGAUGCAUCUGUGGCGCCAAACGCUGCACAUUCAUAUGUUUUCCAUGCUGUAAAGUAGCAGCAUGGGCACAGUACUGGCCCCAGCCCCCCCCUACUCCACCCAGGGUAACCUGCUGUGUACCAGGGUGCGUGGCACAGGCAUUCCCCAGGGACAAGUAGCAGUGGCACAAGGUGUGCUCCUGGUACUUGACCCCGGAGAAACAAACAUCCAUACUCAUGUGAAUGUGGCCUGUGAGGCCAUCACUAGGACAUCAUGAUUCUUGCCCAGUAGGGGCCUUGUAAAUAAGGGUCAGCACUUUAAGUUAGACUGCAGACUGGACAGGGUGCCACAGUAGAGUGGGAAGCUUUGCUAUAUUAUUGCAGGUUACUGUAUACAGUAUUCAUGAAAGCAAGUGUCUAGGGGGACUGGCUGGCACUGGACAUAGCACAACUUGUACUGGGCAAGCUUCCCCUGCAAAAUCUCUCUUGGCAUGCCUAAGCCCUGACCUGUAGUGCUUUGACAAUUAUAGUGACAGUUCUGAGCCAGCAACAUUUAUUGGUUUGUGGAAGAGGAAACAAAGAUGUGAUAUCCUUG